CCUACGGGUGGCAGCAGUGGGGAAUAUUGCACAAUGGGGGGAACCCUGAUGCAGCAACGCCGCGUGAAGGAAGACGGUUUUCGGAUUGUAAACUUCUAUCAAUAGGGAAGAAAGAAAUGACGGUACCUAAAUAAGAAGCCCCGGCUAACUACGUGCCAGCAGCCGCGGUAAUACGUAGGGGGCAAGCGUUAUCCGGAUUUACUGGGGGUAAAGGGAGCGUAGACGGUGAGACAAGUCUGAAGUGAAAGCCCGGGGCUCAACCCCGGGACUGCUUUGGAAACUGCCUGACUGGAGUGCUGGAGAGGCAAGCGGAAUUCCUAGUGUAGCGGUGAAAUGCGUAGAUAUUAGGAAGAACACCAGUGGCGAAGGCGGCUUGCUGGACAGUAACUGACGUUGAGGCUCGAAAGCGUGGGGAGCAAACAGGAUUAGAUACCCCUGUAGUC
RNAcentral lists this ribosomal RNA (443 nucleotides) under uncultured bacterium. RNAcentral's name for it is "partial 16S ribosomal RNA". It matches the Rfam family "Bacterial small subunit ribosomal RNA", at positions 338 to 795 of the family's 1533-position model. The record is from RNAcentral.